This 500-nucleotide ribosomal RNA is filed under the name uncultured bacterium. RNAcentral's name for it is "partial 16S ribosomal RNA". It matches the Rfam family "Bacterial small subunit ribosomal RNA", at positions 29 to 523 of the family's 1533-position model. The record is from RNAcentral.
AUUGAACGCUGGCGGCAUGCCUUACACAUGCAAGUCGAACGGCAGCACGGGAGCAAUCCUGGUGGCGAGUGGCGAACGGGUGAGUAAAGUAUCGGAACGUGCCCAGCCGGGGGGGAUAACGUAGCGAAAGUUACGCUAAUACCGCAUACGAUCUCUGGAUGAAAGCGGGGGAUCGCAAGACCUCGCGCGCUUGGAGCGGCGCAUAUCAGAUUAGGGAGUUGGUGGGGGAAAGGCUCGCCAAGCCGACGAUCUGUAGCUGGUCGGAGAGGACGACCAGCCACGCUGGGACUGAGACACGGCCCAGACUCCUACGGGAGGCAGCAGUGGGGAAUUUUGGGCAAUGGGCGAAAGCCUGAUCCAGCCAUGCCGCGGGCAGGAUGAAGGCCUUCGGGUUGUAAACUGCUUUUGUACGGAACGAAAAGGUUUGGCCUAAUAAGCUGAGCUCAUGACGGUACCGUAAGAAUAAGCACCGGCUAACUACGUGCCAGCAGCCGCCGUAA